Molecule: long non-coding RNA, 3623 nt
Organism: Pseudopipra pipra
Lineage: Eukaryota; Metazoa; Chordata; Aves; Passeriformes; Pipridae
Exons: 4
Source: RefSeq, a predicted model, not a curated record
UGAGGGCGCCCCCGCCCGGCCCCCCCUCGUAUCCCCGCGCGUCCGGGGCGCUCCCGUCGGGAUCACCCCCAUCCCGGUGGGUCUGCCCGGGCUCCAGCCACGUCUCCAGGUGGCCCCGCGGGCUGAGCGGGGACAGCGGUGCGAAACGAGGUGUCCUCAGCGCCCCCGAGCCUCCAGUAGGCUCUUCCUCAGCCCGUGGGAAGCGAGCGAUCGCUGCACCCCCCGCCCUGAGCCGCUCUGGGUAGUGAAGUGGCUCCGGGCGCCUGUCACUGGAGAGCGGAAAUGCCAAGGAAAAAAAAAAACAAACCAAAAAAAACAACAGAGCACACCUGACUCACGCUGGCCCUCUGGUACAAACCCAGUGUGCCUAUCAUCAGUGUGAGGACUUCAGAGCAUGCUUGCAGUGUGUGGUGCAUGAGGAAAAGGAAGAAAAAUGACUAAAACUUGAAGUCAGACUCUGGCAUGCUUGAAUACCAUAUGCCUGCACUAUUGAGAGACUGGAGCAGAGUAUCUGGAGAAAGAUGAGAGAGUGUGGGUGGCAAUAGAAAAAACAACCACCACUAUAAUUUCUGGAAAUUAUUUCGGCUGAAUGAAUGCAGCGAAGACAUCUCAUGGGAAUAGGAGAGGUCUUGCAGACAAUACCUGACUGACUCUUCAGGCAAAAAAAGCAAGACACACCAAGAAAAUAGAAAUAUGACCCUAAAAAUCCAGCCUGGGAUGCCUUAGAAUGGAUGUGAAAGUCCAGGCAAAUGAAGACUGCUCAAGCAAUAGUUGCUUUAUAAACCUAAGAGGGUGAGAGGGAAAAGAUGGGCAGAAAAUAUCAAAGGCUUUGCCAUGGUUCUUAACCUCAUUGCUAAGGAUUUCAGUAAAUUUUAAAUCUGUUUAUAUUUUUUUUAUAGUGCCCAUUACUCUAUAAUGGAUAAUGAAAUGCCUUUCUUCCAGGGACCAUGUGCCAGUUCAUUCUUGGAGUCUUCAGAAAAAAAUGCAGUUCUUGGAUAUCUUUAUCAGAGAUUCCGGGAUCGCCUCUGUGUUGGGGUAAUUCUGGGCACUGGGGGAGUGACAUGCAGGAGGUUGAGCUACCUUGCCCCAUAUGGCCAUGUCCUAAAAUGUCCUUUUAAGAUGGAGGAUAUUUAUUACUUGGAAGGGAAUGGAAGCAAAUGCUUCCAUAAGAAAAGCCAGGAUGGAUCUACUAACUUGCAAAAGAGAGAGGAAACAUCAGACAGGCCUGAUCUUCUAAGUUUGAUGGGCACAGGAAGUCCAUGGACCAGACUGAGUGAUCCUUACAUUUGAGGGGGUAAGCAUUAUACCCUGAAAAGGGUUCUUAUACAAAACAUAUUAGCUGAAGGAUUUUAACCUUGUCCUGUAUUGCAUUUUCACACAGGGAGUACUGAAUACUGUUUGCUGUUCUAGUUAAGAUUUUUUGGCUGUUGAUUGUUAGUGCAUUUACCACUCUAAACCACUUCCAAAAUCCCUGAAGAAGCAGGUGGAAGGCCAAGUAGAUGAGAAAAAUACAUGAAUUAGCCAAUUAAGUGAAGGUCAUAAAUGAACCCCAUUUCAAGAGGCAUCAUCAAACAUUUGUUUGAAAAGAGAAAUUUGCGAAGAAGGAAGCAGGUGUCAAAUUUCUUUUGGCAGCUGGAUGCUGAAAAGCAAUUAGAAUGAAAAGCUACCUGAUCUAAAGCUCAAGACACCAGGAGGAUGUGCCUUAACAAGUGGAAGGAAACACAUAUCGAUGGAGUUUACAACUCUCAUGCUGUAGGGAGGGUGCAGAGCAGUGAGGAAAUGUGCUGACAUGCCUGAAUUCUGGCAGGAUAUAGGACACUGGCACUGCCAGUGAGGAGGAACUUGAGAGUGAUUUUUGGGCUCUGUAUUCAAACAGAUGUCUGUCUUCCGCAGCAUGCUGUAGGAAAAGAGAGGUUUUGAACCAUUAGAAAAGCAAAGGAAGUGCAAUAGCCCAGAUUUUUAUCAUAAUUACACCCAGGUGGUUCUGAAGUGACUACACCCGUGUCAUUGAAGUUACACCAGAGCAAAACUUGUGUUAGAACUGAAUUGAGCUCUUUGUUUGCUUGCAUUUGUGUACCAAAAGAGUACUCUAACAGCUCUUAGUAAAUAAUAAAUUAAUAAUGAUAUUAUGAUCUCCCUUAUGACUGGAAGAAGUACAGAAAAAUUAGUGUCAGAGUAAGAAUUUGCUUGCAAGAUUCUUUGACUGUGUCAUUUCUACAUUGGUAUUGAAUAUAGGGUGCCUUGCUGGACUAAUUUUAAUUUCUGCACCAAUUAAAAUUUUUAUUUCAAACAUCAGCAACACCCAGUGUAGUCAGACAGCAUGUGGUGAACGAUACAAACCCUAAAGCAUAUAGUUUAUAGAUCAAAUGAGUAAGACCUCUGUUUUUUGCAUUGUAAAAUACCUUUAAAUCCCUAGCAGAAAGUAGUAAUGAAAACAACUAAUGAAGGCAAGUGCUUUUUCUGUCUCCCUGUUGUAAAGCAAAUAAUAUUUUAGUAGUUGGUUUCGUUUGUGUUUCCCCAUUUGUGCCUCAGAAUACACCAGAUUGCAAUGUUACAUCACAUUUUUAAUGACUGGAACCAUGUCCUGAGAUCCCCCUUCGACCACACCACAACUUCCUUCUUUUUUUUCUCCUCCUGGCUAGAGGACUGUAUGUAAUUAUGAUGAGGACAUAAUUCAAUUAAUUAUUGACAGACACGUAAUCAACACUCAGAUCUUUCUCUGAUAAAUAUCUUCCUGCUCUCUGACUUCUGUUUGUCGUGCACUAGGGAGGUGGAAAGGCACUAAAAAUGCGUUUUAGAGAUAGGACGUUUCUCAAUCCUUUGUAUCAGCCAGAGAGGCUUCUGCCGCCCUGGGCUCUUUAGAUCUACAGCGUAUUGUUCUCGUCUGUGCUAAACAAGUAUCCCCGAGAAAGCUCAGUGGGAUGGAGGCUUAUGGUUCAUUUUAAGUGAAGGAUAUAAUAGGAGCAGAUAACUUUGAUUUGUGCAAAGGAAAAGUGUGAUCUCUUUCAGGGAUUCCAGGAAUUCAUAGCAAUUUUUUCUUCUGUUGGUGAUUAAAGAGAAAGUGAUAAAUAAGAGCUCUGUGUUCGGUUUAAAGGAGGAAUGUAGCUUUAGAAAGCUGACUUAUUUAGGAAAAAAAAAGAAAAAAAUCCUGACCUCAGAUAGCCUUUGACCAAAAUCUGCUAGUAGUACAGAGCAAAGACGAGGCUGUUUCUGUUACUAUUAAAGCCCACGUAAGGACAGUGAUCACAGAAGUCCGUACGACCGUAAAAUGUCCUGGGGGUCGGGCUGGGGUGGGGACGUGCCAGGGGUUUGCCCGUAUAACUUCGGAUUACAACUAAAGCGUGCCAAAAGCGGAUAAGGGAAAGAGAUAACGAGGUGAGAAAGCAAAGAAUGGCUUUAUUGUAAAGUGAGGAAAACUAAGCUCUAGGAAAAAAAAAAAAGAAAAAGAGUAAACGCGUACACAGAGGCUGCCCUUGUAGCCGAGAGGAGACCCGCUGCUCCUCUGCCUUUGGUUUUGGAGGCACGACGUGCGUGGGGCUGGGAAAGGCGCUGCGGGGGCAGGGCCAGGGCCGCGCUGGGAGCCGUGGGCAGCGGGGCAGAGCGGGGGGCUGUGCUGUCCCGCA